RNAcentral lists this ribosomal RNA (251 nucleotides) under uncultured bacterium. Its description in RNAcentral is "partial 16S ribosomal RNA". It matches the Rfam family "Bacterial small subunit ribosomal RNA", at positions 109 to 353 of the family's 1533-position model. The record is from RNAcentral.
AGUAACACGUAGGUAACCUGCCCAUGUGCCCGGGAUAACUUCUGGAAACGGAUGCUAAAACCGGAUAGGUAGCAGACAAGCAUUUGACUGCUAUUAAAGUGGCUAAGGCCAUGAACAUGGAUGGACCUGCGGUGCAUUAGCUAGUUGGUGAGGUAACGGCCCACCAAGGCGACGAUGCAUAGCCGGCCUGAGAGGGCGGACGGCCACAUUGGGACUGAGACACGGUCCAAACUCCUACGGGAGGCAGCAUG